Molecule: ribosomal RNA, 443 nt
Filed under: uncultured bacterium
Lineage: Bacteria
Description: partial 16S ribosomal RNA
Rfam family: Bacterial small subunit ribosomal RNA
Source: RNAcentral
CCUACGGGAGGCAGCAGUGGGGAAUAUUGGACAAUGGGGGGAACCCUGAUCCAGCGACGCCGCGUGAGUGAAGAAGUAUUUCGGUAUGUAAAGCUCUAUCAGCAGGGAAGAAAGAAAUGACGGUACCUGACUAAGAAGCCCCGGCUAACUACGUGCCAGCAGCCGCGGUAAUACGUAGGGGGCAAGCGUUAUCCGGAUUUACUGGGUGUAAAGGGAGCGUAGACGGCGAUGCAAGUCUGAAGUGAAAGGCGGGGGGCCAAACCCUGGACUGCUUUGGAAACUGUAUGGCUGGAGUGCAGGAGAGGUAAGUGGAAUUCCUAGUGUAGCGGUGAAAUGCGUAGAUAUUAGGAGGAACACCAGUGGCGAAGGCGGCUUACUGGACUGUAACUGACGUUGAGGCUCGAAAGCGUGGGGAGCAAACAGGAUUAGAUACCCUUGUAGUC